Molecule: ribosomal RNA, 445 nt
Filed under: uncultured bacterium
Lineage: Bacteria
Description: partial 16S ribosomal RNA
Rfam family: Bacterial small subunit ribosomal RNA
Source: RNAcentral
GUGAGGAAUAUUGGACAAUGGGCGCAAGCCUGAUCCAGCCAUGCCGCGUGCAGGAAGACGCAUCUAUGGUGUGUAAACUGCUUUUGUACGGGAAGAAACACUCCCUCGUGAGGGAGCUUGACGGUACCGUAAGAAUAAGGAUCGGCUAACUCCGUGCCAGCAGCCGCGGUAAUACGGAGGAUCCAAGCGUUAUCCGGAAUCAUGGGGUUUAAAGGGUCCGUAGGCGGUUUAAUAAGUCAGUGGUGAAAGCCCAUCGCUCAACGAUGGAACGGCAAUUGAUACUGUUAGACUUGAAUUACAAGGAAGUAACUAGAAUAUGUAGUGUAGCGGUGAAAUGCUUAGAUAUUACAUGGAAUACCAAUUGCGAAGGCAGGUUACUACUUGUGGAUUGACGCUGAUGGACGAAAGCGUGGGGAGCGAACAGGAUUAGAAACCCUAGUAGUCC